This is a long non-coding RNA of Artibeus jamaicensis (Jamaican fruit-eating bat), 1036 nucleotides long. RefSeq lists it as uncharacterized. The record is from RefSeq and is a predicted model, not a curated record. The transcript is spliced from 3 exons. NCBI's taxonomy places the organism in Eukaryota, Metazoa, Chordata, Mammalia, Chiroptera, Phyllostomidae.
UCCAGCCUCGGGGAAGGGGUGAUGGAUCCCGAGUGGAUGCCCAGGCACCCCUUUCUGAACUUGUUGGCCCGGGGAGGCUGUUUGUGAGUCUUCCACCCAGAGGGUCGUCUUCUUCUAGUUCCCAGCAGGUCUGCUGCCUUCUGCAAAUGACCACACAAUCCUUCUGCUCCCGAACUGUCGGCAAUGAGUGCCCUGGGCUGCUUGCCACCCGAGCGGGAAUCUUCCCCUUGACCCUCCACUCUGGGUGUGCACAUUUUCACAAGGGCCCUUUGUGGUAGUCCUUCAAAUGACCUUGAAUAACACUGCCCCCUGCACCCUUUCUGGCUGCCACAGGAAGAGGCAUGGCCAUUCUGAAUCCAGGACCUUGAAACCAGUUUAGACUCAGCAGGGAAAGUAAACAGAGGGGUGAGGUGUCUGCCCUUGAGUUCUCGCGGUUAUUAUGCACCCGGCUCUGGCGGUCGUGGGUGAAGCCUUCAGGACUUGGGUGUGCAGUAGUCGGUCAACUGAUUAAACAAGAGGGCUUUAUGGGGCCCCACACAAGGGCCCGUGUCUCCUAGGCCUAUUAUACGGAGGGAAAAACUGAGUGACCACAGAGAACUUGCACUUGACUGGAGCCAAACACGACCUGGGCUGCCCCACAGGUCCUUCUGGAUCUGAAUUAUGGAGCCUUCUUGCUGCCCCCAGCAAAGGAAAACUGUCUCCUGUGAAAUGGAAGAAUUGCAUGGAGUCCACCCUGAUGUCCACGGGCCCUUUGAGGGGACUUCAUUCUGCCCUGGCCUUCCCUCUCGUCUGGUACCAUCUGGGGCCCCAUCAGGGAGACUGAAGGAAUGAAAGUGCAGGCACGGUGACAAGGGCUCGUGUCAGGGAGCAGGCUGCCGAGUCAGCUGCGUGUGGAGAGCUGAUGUGCCGUCUUCACCGUGGAGUCGAGGCUGGCUUCUGACUCAGAGGGGCCUCCUGACGACGAUUUCCCUGAGUUUCAGAAAGACACGGAGCAGCUCCUAGAAGCUGGGAGGGACCCUUGUCAACAUCUAGCCUA